Molecule: ribosomal RNA, 188 nt
Filed under: Klebsiella indica
Lineage: Bacteria; Pseudomonadati; Pseudomonadota; Gammaproteobacteria; Enterobacterales; Enterobacteriaceae
Description: Klebsiella sp. TOUT106 partial 16S ribosomal RNA
Rfam family: Bacterial small subunit ribosomal RNA
Source: RNAcentral
AUGCCACGGUGAAUACGUUCCCGGGCCUUGUACACACCGCCCGUCACACCAUGGGAGUGGGUUGCAAAAGAAGUAGGUAGCUUAACCUUCGGGAGGGCGCUUACCACUUUGUGAUUCAUGACUGGGGUGAAGUCGUAACAAGGUAACCGUAGGGGAACCUGCGGUUGGAUCACCUCCUUACCUGAAGA